UCCCUUGUCCUGGAUGGAACCUGAUCCCUUGUCCUGGAUGGAACCUGAUCCCUUGUCCUGGAUGGAACCUGAUCCCUUGUCCUGGAUGGAACCUGAUCCCUUGUCCUGGAUGGAACCUGAUCCCUGUCCUGGAUGAAUUAUUUCAAUAUUCACUGAACUAAAAUAUAAACACAACAUACAACAAUUUCAACGAUUUUACUGAGUUACAGUUCAUAUAAAGAAAUUAGUCAAUUUAAAUGAAUUCAUUAGGUCCUAAUCUAUGGAUUUCACAUGACUGGGAAUACAGAUCUGCAUCUGUUGGUCGCAAAUACCUUAAAAAAAGGGUGUGUGGAUCAGAAAACCAGUCAGUAUCUGGUGUGACCACCAUUUGCCUCAUGCAGUGCGACACAUCUCCUUCACAUAGAGUUGAUCAGGCUGUUGAUUGUGGCCUGUGGAAUGUUGUCCCACUCCUCUUCAAUGGCUGUGCGAAGUUGCUGGAUAUCGGUGGGAACUGGAACACUCUGUCGUACACGUCGAUCCAGAGCAUCCCAAACAUGCUCAACAGGUGACAUGUCUGGUGAGUACGCAGGCCAUGGAAGAACUGGGACAUUUUCAGCUUCCAGAAAUUGUGUGCAGAUCCUUGUGAUGAGGUAAUGAAUGGCACGAAAAUGGGCCUCAUGAUCUCGUCACGAUAUUUCUCGACAUUCAAAUUGCCAUCGAUAAAAUGCAAUUGUGUUCGUUGUCCGUAGUUUAUGCCUGCCCCAUUCCACAACCCCACCGCCAACAUGGCGCCACUCUGUUUACAACGUUGACAACAGCAAACCGCUCGCCAGACGACCCAGAGUCCCACACGACACCACCAUCAUAGAGGUGAAACCGGGAUUCAUCCAUGAAGUACCCAUUUUGUCCAGCGUGCCAGUGGCCUUCGAAGAUAUCUUUGGUUGUGCAGUUUAAUCAGAUGUCCGGGUGGCUGGUCUCAGACGAUCCCGCAGGUGAAGAAGCCGGAUGUGGAGGUCCUGGGUUGGCGUGGUUACACGUGGUCUGCGGUUGUGAGGCCGGUUGGACGUACUGCCAAAUUCUCUAAAACAACGGAGGCAGCUUAUGGUAGAGAAAUGAACAUUAAAUUCUCUGGCAACAGCUCUGGUGGACAUUCCUGCAAUCAGCAUGCCAAUUGCACUCUCUCUCAAAACUUGAGACAUCUGUGUCAUUGUGUGACAAAACUGCACAUUUUAGAGUGGCCUUUUAUUGGCCCCCAGCACAAACUGCACCUACUGUAUGCAAUGAUCAUGCUGUUUAAUCAGCUUCUUGAUAUGCAACACCUGUCGGGUGGUGGAUUAUCUUGGCAAAGGAGAAAUGCUCAUUAACAGGGAUGUAAACACAUUUGUGCACAAAAUUUGAGAGAAAUAAGCUUUUUUUUGUGCACAUGGACAUUUUCUGGGGAAUCAUUAAUUUCAGCUCAUUAAACAUGGGACCAACACUUGUACAUGUUGUGUUUAUAUUUUUGUUGUUCCUCUCUCCUCCCAUAAUAUUGGACAUCUUGUUUAAUACAGAAUAAGUACUCUUAUACUCACCUGAGACCUAAUGUGGAGAGAGAAGGGGACCUAGGGAAUGAUGGUACAAUAUGACAAUACAACAGACCUUUUCCUCAUGAAUCUACGGUUUGCUUAUAUUUGUGAACGAGACCAUGGGAACCCACCCUGCUCUAACAUGGGGGGGUUUAGGGAGACAGAGAGUGACUGUGCCACAGAAGGAGGUGUGUCUGGCGGUGAUGAGCGUGCAGUAGAGGUGUCAGGGUUCUGCGUCCCAAAUGGCACCCUAUUCCCUAUAUAGACACACUACUUUUGACCAGAACUAUGGACCCUGGUCAAAAGUAGUGCACUAAAAAAAAAGGUAACAGGGAGCCAUUUUGGAACGCAGACAUGGGUGGGUGAAUAUUUGGAGCGCGCUGUAGAGGUGUCAGAAUGAUCUAUGAUAGCUGAAGCAGAAACAGAAGCGGUCCCUCUCUCCCUCUGAAUGCUGAGUACCAUUGACCCUGAUGGAUGUCUAAACACAGGUUUGUGUCCCAUAUGACACCCUAUUCCCUAUAUAGUUAGUGCACUACCUUCGACCAGAUAUAUAGGGAAUAGGGUUUGGUCAAAAGUAGUGCACUAUAGGGAAUAGGGUGCCAUUUGGGAUGCAUAACUAAAUACUCUGGUCUGUUUGGUUUCCCUUACAGCACAGAUGUUCUGUUCUGUUCUGUUCUGCUCUGCUCUGCUCCGUUCUGUUCUGUUCUGCUCUGCUCCAUUCUGUUCUGUUCUGCUCUGCUCUGUUCUGUUCUGUUCUGUUCUGCUCUGCUCUGUUCUGCUCUGCUCUGUUCUGUUCUGUUCUGUUCUGCUCUGCUCUGCUCUGCUCUGCUCCGUUCCGCUCCGUUCUGUUCUGUUCUGUUCUGCUCUGCUCUGUUCUGUUCUGCUCUGCUAUGUUCUGCUCUGUUCUGUUCUGCUCUGUUCUGUUCUGUUCUGCUCCGUUCUGCUCCAUUCUGUUCUGUUCUGUUCUGCUCCGUUCUGUUCUGCUCCGUUGUGCUCCGUUCUGUUCUGCUCUGUUCUGUUCUGCUCCGUUCUGUUCUGCUCCGUUCUGCUCUGUUCUGUUGUGCUCCGUUCUGCUCUGUUCUGUUCUGUUCUGUUCUGUUCUGUUCUGCUCCAUUCUGUUCUGUUCUGUUCUGCUCCGUUCUGCUCUGUUCUGUUCUGUUCUGCUCCGUUCUGUUCUGCUCCGUUCUGUUCUGUUCUGUUCUGCUCCAUUCUGUUCUGUUCUGUUCUGUUCUGCUCCGUUCUGUUCUGUUCUGUUCUGCUCCGUUCUGCUCCGUUCUGUUCUGUUCUGCUCUGUUCUGUUCUGCUCCGUUCUGCUCUGUUCUGCUCUGCUCCGUUCUGCUCUGUUCUGUUCUGCUCCGUUCUGUUCUGUUCUGUUCUGCUCCGUUCUGUUCUGUUCUGUUCUGUUCUGCUCCGUUCUGCUCUGUUCUGUUCUGUUCUGUUCUGCUCCAUUCUGUUCUGUUCUGUUCUGUUCUGCUCCGUUCUGCUCUGUUCUGUUCUGCUCCGUUCUGUUCUGUUCUGCUCCGUUCUGUUCUGUUCUGCUCCAUUCUGUUCUGUUCUGCUCCGUUCUGCUCUGUUCUGUUCUGCUCCGUUCUGUUCUGUUCUGCUCCGUUCUGCUCCGUUCUGCUCCGUUCUGUUCUGUUCUGUUCUGCUCCGUUCUGUUCUGCUCUGUUCUGCUCCGUUCUGCUCCGUUCUGUUCUGCUGUGUUCUCAGUCAGGAUGAUAAUGAGGAGGAGUUGUUUUAUGGAUGAUGGGUUUGGGUGUUUUCUAUUUAUAAAUAUUUAUAAAUAGAAAACGAUCUCGCAGACGGAGGCCAUCAUUUAUUUAAUGUGAUACUGUUUAUCUGAACUUCAUCUCAUCAAUUCAACGAUCUAAAAAAAAUCACAUUUCUAUGCAAAUCAGUUCUUGUCAAACUGAGAGUUCAAAAGAUAAAACGUUCUGGAAGUAUGAUAUCUCACAGUGGGGACGGAUGUUGUGUUGGAUUAAACUCCUGAUAAUGAUAUCUCACAGUGGGGACGGAUGUUGUAUUGUAUUAAACUCCUGGCAAUGAUAUCUCACAGUGGGGAAGGAUGUUGUAUUAAACUCCUGACAAUGAUAUCUCACAGUGGGGAAGGAUGUUGUAUUAAACUCCUGAUAAUGAUAUCUCACAGUGGGGACGGAUGUUGUGUUGGAUUAAACUCCUGAUAAUGAUAUCUCACAGUGGGGACGGAUGUUGUGUUGGAUUAAACUCCUGAUAAUGAUAUCUCACAGUGGGGACGGAUGUUGUAUUGUAUUAAACUCCUGACAAUGAUAUCUCACAGUGGGGAAGGAUGUUGUAUUAAACUCCUGAUAAUGAUAUCUCACAGUGGGGACGGAUGUUGUAUUAAACUCCUGACAAUGAUAUCUCACUGACAUACACUACUGGUCAAACGUUUUAGAACACCUAGUCAUUCAAGAGUUUUUCUUAAUUUUUAAAAAUGUUCUACAUUGUAGAAUAGUAGGGAAGACAUCAAAACUAUGAAAUAACUCAUAAGGAACCAUCUAGUAACCAAAAAAGUGUUAAACAAACCAAACUAUAUUUUAUAUUUGAGAUUCUUCCAAAGUAGCCACCCUUUACCUUGAUGCCUCUUUGCAAACUCUUGGCAUUCUCUCAACCAGCGUCAUGAGGUAGUCACCUGGAAUGCAUUUCAAUUAACAGGUGUGCCUUCUUAAAAGUUAAUUUGUGGAAUUUCUUUUCUUCUUAAUGUGUUUGAGCCAAUCAGUUGUGUUGUGACAAGGUUGGGGUGGUAUACAGAAGAUAGCCCCAUUUGGUAAAAGACCAAGUCCAUAUUAUGGCAAGAACAGCUCAAAUAAGCAAAGAGAAAUGACAGUCCAUCAUUACUUUAAGAAAUUAAGGUUAGUGAAUGCGGAACAUUUCAAGAACUUUGAAAAGUUUCUUCAAGUGCAGUCGCAAAAACAAUCAAGCGCUAUGAUGAAACUGGUUCUCAUGAGGACCGCCACAGGAAAGGAAGACCCAGAGUUACCUCUGCUGCAAAGGAAAAGUUCAUUAGAGUUACCAGCCUCAGAAAUUGCAGCACAAAUAAAUGCUUCACAGAGUUUAAGUAACAGACAUAUCUCAACAUCAAUUGUUCAGAGGAGACUGUGUGAAUCAGGCCUUCGUAGUCAAUUUGCUGCAAAGAAACCACUACUAAAGGACACCAAUAAUAAUAAGAGACUUGCUUGGGCCAAGAAACACGAGCAAUGGACAUUAGACCAUUAGAACUCUGUACUUUUAGAUUGGUGGAAAUUUGUUCUUUGGUCUGGAGUCCAAAUUUGAGAUUUUUGGUUCCAACUGCCGUGUCUUUGUGAGACGCAGAGUAGGUGAACGGACGAUCUCCGCAUGUGCAUUUUCCCGCCGUGAAGCAUGGAGGAGGUGGUGUUAUGGUGUGGAGGUGCUUUGCUGGUGACACUGUCCGUGAUUAAUUUAGAAUUCAAGGCACACUUAAACAGCAUGGCUACCACAGCAUUCUGCAGCAAUAUGCCAUCCCUUCUGGUUUGGGCCUAUCAUUUGUUUUUCAACAGGUCUAUGACCCAACACACCUCCAGGCUGUUUAAGGGCUAUUUGACCAAGAAGGAGAGUGAUGAAGUGCUGCAUCAGAUGACCUGGCCUCCACAAUCACCCGACCACAACCCAAUUGAGAUUGUUUGGAAUGAGUCGGACCGCAGAGUGAAGGAAAAGCAACCAACAGGUGCUCAGCAUAUGUGGAAGCUUCUUCUUCUUCUUCAAUACUGUUGAAACAGCAAUCCAGGUGAAGCUGGUUGAGAGAAUGCCAAGAGUGUGCAAAGAUGUCAAGAAGGCAAAGUGUGGCUAUUUUAAAGAAUCUCAUAUAUAAAAUAUAAAAUAUAUUUUGAUUUGUUUAACACUUUUUUGGUUACUACAUGAUUCCAUAUGUGUUAUUUCAUAGUUUUGAUGUCUUCACUAUUAUUCUACAAUGUAGAAAAUAGUGAAAAUAAAGAAAAACCCUUAAAUCAGGAGGUGUUCUAAAACUUUUGGCCGGUAGUGGGGUCGGAAAUGAUUGACACCCUUGAUAAAGAUGAGCAAUACUGACUGUAUAAAAUAAAUAAUUCAAAUACUGAGCUAUGUUGCCUUCAGAAAGUAUUCACACCCCUUGACUUUUUUUCUGAUUUUGUUGUGCUACAGCCUGAAUUUAAAAUGGAUUAAAUGUAGAUUUUUGUAACGGAUUACAAAAAAACUGUAACUGUAAUCCAUUAUAUUACCAGCGAAAACAUUUUAAUCAGAUUACAGAUUACUUUUGAAAAACUAGAUGAUUACUUCUUGGAUUACUUUUAAAUUCAGAAAGGAUAUUUGCAAAAAUAAAAUCUAUAAUCCUUCUCUAUUUUCUCAAUGACAUUCAAACCAGCAUUGAAAAAAGGCUCAGGUUUAAAUUUGUUCAACGUGAACAAGUCUGACCACCAAUCAGAGACCACUAUGAUGACACACCAAAUGUGUUUGAUGAAUCGUGGGAAAAGAGCAGGAAUAGGCUUUUGAAGGCUACAGUCCAAGCUAUGUCUUCCAAUGGUACGACUGUUGUCGGCCAAUUUGAAUAAACGCAUGGAGGUAAGGAUGUCAGCAACGGUUGUAGUCUACAGCGAUACGGAUAUCACUCAUUACUGAUAUCUACAUAGCGUAUUGAUGUGAAUCACACUGCUGCUCUCUCAUUUUGCUAUUUGCGCCUUACGGAUUGUAGUUGUUCUGGACGGCUGUUUACAAAUCUAAAUGUGUAUUUGAACUCGA
This 6293-nucleotide long non-coding RNA is filed under the name Salmo salar (Atlantic salmon). RNAcentral describes it as "lncRNA (ENSSSAG00000087859.1)". Lineage: Eukaryota; Metazoa; Chordata; Actinopteri; Salmoniformes; Salmonidae. The record is from RNAcentral.